GGCGAAAAGAUAUUUGAACGAUAUCGCGUCACGCUAAAAGCGUGAAGGUCGCAGGUUCGAAUCCUGCC
RNAcentral lists this transfer RNA (68 nucleotides) under Winogradskyella sp. Its description in RNAcentral is "tRNA-Phe". The record is from RNAcentral. Lineage: Bacteria; Pseudomonadati; Bacteroidota; Flavobacteriia; Flavobacteriales; Flavobacteriaceae.